GUCUAUGGCCAUGCUAUCCUGAACAAGCCCGAUCCCGGCUGAUCUCAGAAGCUAAGCAGGGUCAGGCCUGGUUAGUAUUUGGAUAUUUGGAUAGGAGAUUACCUAGGAAGACCAGGUGCUGUAGGCA
This is a ribosomal RNA of Pteropus vampyrus (large flying fox), 127 nucleotides long. The record is from Ensembl. Lineage: Eukaryota; Metazoa; Chordata; Mammalia; Chiroptera; Pteropodidae.